RNAcentral lists this ribosomal RNA (440 nucleotides) under uncultured bacterium. RNAcentral describes it as "partial 16S ribosomal RNA". It matches the Rfam family "Bacterial small subunit ribosomal RNA", at positions 338 to 795 of the family's 1533-position model. The record is from RNAcentral.
CCUACGGGAGGCAGCAGUGGGGAAUAUUGCACAAUGGGCGAAACCCUGAUGCAGCGACGCCGCGUGAGUGAAGAAGUAUUUCGGUAUGUAAAGCUCUAUCAGCAGGGAAGAAAAUGACGGUACCUGAUUAAGAAGCCCCGGCUAACUACGGGCCAGCAGCCUCGGGACUACGUAGGGGGCAAGCGUUAUCCGGAUUUACUGGGUGUAAAGGGGGCGUAGACGGCAGCACAGGUCUGGAGUGAAAUGCCGGGGCUUAACCCCGGAACUGCUGUGGAAACUGUGCAGCGAGAGUGCAGGAGAGGUAAGCGGAAUGCGUGGUGUAGCGGUGAAAUGCGUAGAUAUUAGGAAGAACACCAGUGGCGAAGGCGGCUUACUGGACUGUAACUGACGUUGAGGCUCGAAAGCGUGGGGAGCAAACAGGAUUAGAUACCCUAGUAGUC